Long non-coding RNA from Megachile rotundata (alfalfa leafcutting bee), 5755 nucleotides. Lineage: Eukaryota; Metazoa; Arthropoda; Insecta; Hymenoptera; Megachilidae. The record is from RefSeq and is a predicted model, not a curated record.
GGUCGGUAACCGUGUGGCGUCGGUAGGAGGUAGAAAACGAAGAAGCUUCGAAAAGUCGCGGCUUGACUUGCUCGAGGCGAAAGAAGAGAGCGUGUAGGCGCGUUAGGAAUGUAACAUCUCGAAAACGUUGUGUGCCAUGAUCGUAAAGCAUCGCGUGGGUCUUUUCGAGGCUCGGACGCGCAAGGGGUUGUGUGCCAAGCCUCUGGAUGAAAUAAAUCCGUUCGCUCGGACGUCGAGGGAAUCUUUUUUACCCCAUCGUAGAUCGGUCGACGAUCGUUUAGGAUUCACCCGCGUAGGUGGCAUGGAGACUGACUGACGACCUUGUAAAGAACAUCCACAAUAGCUUAUUAGUGAGUUAUAGCCGCUAGAAUUCGUCCGUUUCAAAAAAGUUGACAUUGAGUUAUUAGAGGUUAUAGUAGAUAGAUACUUCGGAACCGUAUUUCUCGCGAGUAACUAUGCGCAGACUGCCGAUAAGAAAUGUAUAUAUUAACGGAUAUAUUCCAUUUUAUUCGCUUUGUAACAUUUUUUGUUAAUUUUACGUAUGUACCGUGAAACUCGUUCGACGUCCAGCUCGGUUUAUCGUCAUCUCGAGCAAGCGUGUUUAUGGGAUCUUUCUUAAUGGCGACGGUCCUUGGCAUGCAUCGUUGACUUUUAAUUUCAAGUCGAUAUUUAUUUCGCGAGAAAAGCAAGAAAUCCGGUUCUCGAUGGCCGAACGGGAUUGUAACGACGCGUUUUGCAUAGAGGCGACAAUUAAAGGAGAAAAAAAAUGGAACCUGUUCUUGCCUCAGCGGUGGAUGCAGAGGAAAAGCAUCGGUGAUCGAAGUGAUCGAUAAAAUGAUCGGUUUAAUCAUUUACAUGAAUCAGAUAAACGCCACAAGAAAUGUCAGAAAAUACAUCGCCUUAAAUAUCAGUAACUUUUAUAGUUUAAUAAAUGCAUGGGCGGUAACGAAAACACACGGGUCAACGUGUUUAAGGGCCUAUAAUAGAGAGUUGACUUUUCGCCAAUCGACCCGAAACCUCUUGAUCGACGAGUUUGAGGCACUUUGGCCAUCAGCCAGUGCCGUUUUAGAAAGAUAUCCGGCCUGAUCGACUACGGGGACGUGUAUCGAUACCUCUCGAAUCAACGGGUCGCUUGUAUCGCGUGGAUCGUUCCUGGAAGGAAUCGAUAUCGAUACGGAACGCAUUUUAGAAUAGAAAUAAAGAUGGCGGAGAAGGCACGAAGGGAUUCUGAGGAAAUAAAAGCUCAAGUUCAGAAUAAAGUCAGCCAGUGAUCUCCGAGCGUGAACGUUGAAAUGGACCGAUUGAAGAGCGACUCGUCGAGGCCUCGUUUCGUUGCAAAUGCUUCCUACAUCAUCGCGCCAUCAUCUGGUUAGCUCGACGUAUUAAUAAUUGCGCGAUUGUGUAAUAAUCAAAAGCCGUGAGGGACGAUGGUGUAUCAUCCUCUCGAUCAAGAACGACACUCCACGCUUCAGCUAUAUUUAGUCGGUUGGAAUUGAAGAUUUUCUACAAACUUUCUUCCAUUGUUACUCAAGAUAUCAGAGGUACAUUUGAGCAGUAACGGCGGUAACAAAUAAGUGGUAACAAAUAAGCUGUUAAAGCGUUAGCAAACAAGCUGUUAUAGCAGUGGCAAAUUUGAAGAUUAAGAAGCGUUUUUGAAGGAACUAGGACGUGCGAUAAUUUACGGUCGCUCUUAUCAGCCCGUUAUCUCAAAUCUUUUCGAAAGUCGUCUCUGACAAAAUUCGAGAAAAGGAACGUAAAAAUCCUGCCGCAAAUACGUUGAGAAUGCACCAUCUUAUCAAAUAUAAACUGCACAUUCCGCUAAAAUUAUUGAAAACAUUCUUAUCUGUUUUCUUGUUUUACAUUAAGAUAAAGGUAAAAUUGUUUGCAACUUCAAUUUUGGUGGACAUAGAGUGUGACUCAACGCAUUUACCAUACUUCAUAUAUUUAUAAUAAAGCCUGAAGGAUAUUAUGUAAAUAAAUGAAGUUCUGACAAUAGCACAUAAAUAUUGUGCGGAAACAAAUUGCUCUGAAAUUAUAAAAAAUAGUUUGAAUAUGUAUAUUUUUAAUAGCUUUGUUGUCACUCUUAUCAGUUCUUGAAAUAGAAACUGUUGUUACAGAAUUUUCUUUGGAAAUAUGUUGCGAAUGUAAGAGAGUCCAUAGAAAUUAUUUUUGGAAGUGAGAUAAUGUAGAAGAAGACAGUGUUUACAAGACCAAUGCACGAACGGCGAGGACAUACGGCCCUGAAUUUCAUUUCUCGUCCCUGAAGCCGAGACGUAGACAUUUAGUUACACGCCACGAAUGUUAAUCCCCCUGAUCGCGCCUCUUCCCCCUCUGGAUCCUCUCGAAUACUCCGGCGUAUACUGGGUGACAAAUUUUUGGGACUCGAGAAAGUUUCGGCCAAUUAUGCUAAAACGAGUUUAUUAAAAUCGGCUUUUAGCCGCAGGUUGCAGCCGUUGCGUAAGAAACACUUUCGAAGUCGAAAUUUAUUUCCGGCGAAAGAAAGCUAUCUCGGAAUUUUUUCGUAAGUAGAAAUCGAUUGCGAGACCCGGUUUCUACGAAUUUGAUCGACCUCGCGGAAUUUAGACGGUUUCGAAAAAAUUGAGAGAACGUGAAACUAACCUCUUACGGACGGUAAUCCAAUGACUGUUGGGAAAUCCUCGUAACCGACGUAUCGUAAUCGGACUCUGAUGCACGUAAGGGUACACCUGCAUAGGGUGUUCAAAACUCACCUGCAAAUUAUUCACAAAUAUUGUUACUCUUCAAAAAUUAAUCUUCAAACAUCCUUGCAGUUUAUAUAUAAGCUACAUGAAAAAUUUUACCUCUGAACUCCAGUGAAACUAAAAACUAAAAAUCUGUGGGAAGCGACAAACGAGAUCGGACAAACUACCGGCGGAAAAGAGGAAAGAGGGUAAAAUAAAGUGAAUAAAAAAAGGAAGGAUCAAGAAGCGACAGGGUGAGCCGUAAGAACAGUCGGCAAAAGCAAAAGGAGGGAGAGAAUGAGAAAGCAAAGAGUAAAAGAGGGAGAGCAGCAGACGGAAAGGUAGACAAGAAAGGCAAGAAAAAGAAAAGAGGGUUUUAUAAGAGGAAGAGGGGUGAAAGGAGGGGAAUGGAAGCAUGUGAUGGGCCGCAGGACGACUCGGCAGGAUACGCGACCAGCUGCCUCGUUAUUUUCAGGACUUUACGCUGGGACGAGCUCGGGAUUCGAUGAGAAACGUUAUGCCGGUUCCUCGAGCGAAUUAAGCCUCGAAAAUUAAUGAGAAUACCUAGGCGAAUUUAUUAUGUGUUCUCUUCGUUAUACCAAGAUUUCGGUACAGAUGUCGAAAUGGAGGAGUUAUAAGCUUGAGAAAUUAAAUUUAACAACAUAGAAGCUUGAGGAAUUAAAUCUAAGAACAUAGAAGCUUGAGGAAUUAAAUCUAACAACAUAGAACCUUGAGGAAUUAAAUCUAAGGACAUAGAAGCUUCAGAAAUUAAAUCCAAUAAUAUAUAAGCUUCAGAACCGGUAGCUAAAGACAUGGACGCUCGAUAAGUGGACGCUAAGAACAUGGACGCUCGAUAAGUGGACGCUAAGGACACAGACGCUCGUUAAGUGGACGCUACGAACAUGACGCUCGACAAGGAGCUAAUAGGUCUUCAAAUAAUGCAAAUUAGGAAGAUAGAACCUUCAUUCUAUGAUUUCAAGGUGCUGUCAUACAACAUUGAAUCAAUCUUGUCGCUACCCUAACCUCAUUUUGAUAUAUACAUCCUUAACGCAUAAAACCUUGAAGUCUAAAACCUUGAAGCAUAGAAACGAGUAUAAAACUUGAAGUUACAUAACCUUUUUGAAGAAAAUCCCGACUCAACGUUUUUAAUAAUACAUCGAUAGAGUAAAUGAUAUUGUAAGGUAAUUGUACAUUCGAGUAUAGUUUAAAGGUUUCGCUAGUAGAAGCUAACACCCUCGCAGGGCGCGGCUCAAUCAAUUACUAUGGCGAGGGUGCGGUCGUUCUGCGCGAGUUCCACCCCUUGCAUGGCAACAAGCCUCGUGCAAGUUUUCUAUUUUACCGUGCAACUAAAAAAGUAUCAAUAAUAACAUUUUUGUUGAGCGAAGACAUUCGAAACAAAGAUACUUUCGGAAUACUAUUUCUAUCGAACAAUAUUAUCUUACUAAAUAGAUGUAUCUAGCGAAUAUUAUCUUAGGUUAGUUAUUUCUUCCUCGUUCAAACACUGACGUAACCGUCAAUCGUGAGAUCAAGAUUUUUCAAGGUUUCGCAGACCUUCGAAACUUUCCACGAUUACUAAUUUUCGACUCGAUGCUGAACAAUUAAGGGGAACCUUGGUUUCUUUGUCUCGAGCCCCCGAAUCGAUCAGUUCGAGUCCUACACGUGUGUUUCGAUUAUUUUUACUCGGGAUUGCCUCAUCGAAAGAUUUUAAAUAUACCGGGCGAAUGAUCUCUUUAUGAAGGUGCCAUUUCAGCAACCUUCUUGAAAAACUUCUUUUCUUCUCUUCUUAUUUUCUUCUUAUAGUUUGAAAGAAUAAAUGAUAGGUGAUUUCAAACUGUUUUAAUUAAAACUAAUUGCAUUAAUGAUUGCAGCAAUUCAUUUGAACUGUUGAAGCUCUGCAUGAAUUUAUGGAUGUGCAAAAUUUGUAACAAGAUGGACGAAUAACCUAACAUAACCCUUGUGAUGGAUGAAUAACCUAACAUAACCUAACAUAACUCAUACAUUGUGACUGGACAUUUUUUGGAGCUUAGAAAUAAUUAAGAUAAAUUAGUUUUGAAAGCUUUCUCUCGCAUGAUAUACGACAAGGGACAACGAAAUCGGUCCCUGACGACGCCAUGUCUAAAUAUAUCCAGCCGUGACACUUGUUUCAUGUAAAUCAAGCCCGUGGACGACGAAAAAGCGGGGAAACGCGAGCGAUGCUGGAAGAAACGGGCAGACAACCUCGACAGACCAACUUGUCGCCUCCGGAUGACUCGGAUACUAAAAAUUCUUUUUUUAUAACGUGAAUCAAUUUUUGCGAAAACCUACGUAAUUUCAUCGUCUCUCGGCUAUUAAAGAUUUUAUCGUUGCCUGAUAAAUUUCUAUUUGCUUAGCUGCUAGAAUCUCUACAGACGGUUUUACAUUAUUUUUGGAUAUCGAUAUGGUUCAUCAAUUUUACCUACAUAGAUUGAUUAGUUAUCAGUUAUCUUGAGAGUUGGAACUUUGAUAAUUAACUAGGAAACAUUUCUGUUCAAAUAAUACUUGAAAUAUUAUACUUGUAAAGUUUCUUUAUUGCAAAGGUUUUUCAAUGUGAUUUGCACAUGUUUCAAAUACUUCACUACCUUACAUAAUAGUGUUCUUAUUAUCAGAAGUAUAUCGUAUAUUCAAUAGAGUGUUAAUUAGGGGACAUUAAAAUUGUUUUCGAGCACCUGAAUAAAUAUUUCGAUAGAAUGGUUUUGAUAGUCGAUCAAAAGAGAGAGGAAGAAAUGAGAGUGUUAACUUGAAUUUGGCAAUUCGAACCGAGAUUCGAUUUAAUCGUAUGAAAUUGAGAACAACAAGUUGAAAGUGCACGGAUAACUCUCGAGAUAAAUGGAGAAAUCACAAAGCUUGAUAUCGGGAAUUAUUGACGUGGGGUAAUAACGUAAAUUUUUUGCGAUUUUAUUGAUGUCGUUGUGAGGUAACCUUUUUAGAUAGCAACGUGGUAAAUUACGUUUUAAAUAAUUUACUAGUGGCAAAUUUAAUAUUAGUUAUUUUUCUGGGGUAGGAAAUUUGAUUUUAGUUAACUUACUACUUAUACUAAA